GGGCGGUUAGCUCAGCGGUAGAGCGCCUGCCUUACAAGCAGGAUGUCACUGGUUCGAAUCCAGUACUGCCCA
RNAcentral lists this transfer RNA (72 nucleotides) under Coleofasciculus chthonoplastes. It matches the Rfam family "tRNA". Rfam says of the family: Transfer RNA (tRNA) molecules are approximately 80 nucleotides in length. Their secondary structure includes four short double-helical elements and three loops (D, anti-codon, and T loops). The record is from RNAcentral. Lineage: Bacteria; Bacillati; Cyanobacteriota; Cyanophyceae; Coleofasciculales; Coleofasciculaceae. RNAcentral also lists the same sequence under 16 other names.